Molecule: ribosomal RNA, 613 nt
Filed under: Carex myosuroides
Lineage: Eukaryota; Viridiplantae; Streptophyta; Magnoliopsida; Poales; Cyperaceae
Description: eukaryotic LSU rRNA
Rfam family: 5.8S ribosomal RNA (bases 229-383)
Source: RNAcentral
UCGUCGCCUCUCGAAAAACACGACCGUUGCACGCGUGACAGAAUGCUGCCCGGGAGGCGCUUGCUGCCUCCUCGGCCCCCGCCGGCCUCUUCCCUCUCGCCCUCCGGGCGCGUCGGUCGCUGGCCGGAAYACGGCGCGGGAUGACGCCAAGGAACACGAGAAAGAGCUGAGGCACCGGCGAGCCGCUCCGUGGYGGCGCCGGUUGCCGAGGCCGAUGAAAAAAAGUAUGACUCUCGGCAACGGAUAUCUCGGCUCUCGCAUCGAUGAAGAACGUAGCGAAAUGCGAUACGUGGUGUGAAUUGCAGAAUCCCGUGAACCAUCGAGUCUUUGAACGCAAGUUGCGCCCGAGGGACCCUCCCGAGGGCACGCCUGCCUCACGGGCGUUAGAAGCCCAUCCACGCUCGGUUGCCUCAGGGCAAAAAGAUGCGGACAUUGGCCCUCCGAACCGCGAGGUGCGGUGGGCCCAAGUGUGCGGCCGUCGYGUGYGGCCGGGAGCGGCGAGUGGUGGGCUACUGCGCACGUCGCCCCGAGCUCCGUACCGACACAGGGCCUUGUUUGACCCCCUAACGAGGAGCAUGCCGCYGCGGCCUGCGCUGCGCGGCGCCUUCGGACC